This 432-nucleotide long non-coding RNA is filed under the name Homo sapiens (human). RNAcentral's name for it is "HSALNT0301087". Lineage: Eukaryota; Metazoa; Chordata; Mammalia; Primates; Hominidae. The record is from RNAcentral.
UAUAAAUCCUGCCUGCAGCUGCAAAAGGGCUCCUGUCUUCAGUACCCACUUCAUUUAUUUGAAAACAAAGCAAAGAACCUCGCUCAACAGCUUUUACAGCUUGAAACUGGGUCUGGAAAAGCUCAUUUGCAUUCCUGCAGCAAGGCCCGGAGAAUAAACCGAGCAAACGUGUCUAUUUGUGUACUUCAAUAUAUGACUGUGCUUGCUUCAAUCAAGACUUAUUUUCAGUAUCAUGGCCAACAAAAGCAUUAAACGAGUUUUCUCUAACAUGAAUGAUAAGCUGUAGAAUGCAUUUCUUUAAAGUAAUUUUUUUCUGUGACGCUUAUGGAAUGCAGUGAAAAAUAGAAGCAAGAGUGCAAAUCUCACUAGAAAUUCACAAUGCUGCCUUGCCAUUUGAACUCUUUCUCCUUGUUUCCUGACAUGUUAAGUGCC